Trichomycterus rosablanca is the source of this 462-nucleotide long non-coding RNA. RefSeq lists it as uncharacterized. The record is from RefSeq and is a predicted model, not a curated record. Lineage: Eukaryota; Metazoa; Chordata; Actinopteri; Siluriformes; Trichomycteridae. The transcript has 4 exons.
CAGUUAAUGUGUGGUCAGGCUCCAGAUCUAGAACGUUUUGAUAUUGCCCUCUUACCAGACAAGUGUGUGCAGGAGAGGCUUCAGCAGAUUAAAGAUUGCAAAACUGAGGAGUCAUGGAAAAAUCUGCAGGACAGUCUGGGGGACUGGAUUGCCGAUUGUGGUGUGCCAGGGAACUGCAAACAUGGUGGAGCAGUUUAAACAGGGCAUCAACUCCUGUGGCAAAUUUUGGGAGACUGUGGAGAGGCACUGGAAAUCAUUUCAGUGCCUCUUUACACAUACAGAAGGACCAAUGACGAGAGCUGGUUUUCGGUGCCUUUUUGACAUCAUUUGGAGUGAUGAGGGGUCGAACAAGAAGGUAGCUGAAGAGGACACCAUGUUUGCUUGGGAAUGUCUUCUCAACAGUGUGCAGGAAAAAGAAACUCCUUUCACCUUUGAGGACUUACUGGUGUUUGUCACAGGAGC